CCUCCUGCAGAAACUCUUCAGUUUGAAGGAAUAAGUAUGCAUGCCACAAUGGCCUGCGUUGCUCAAUAUGCCACUGCUGUCUUUUAUGUGAUAUUGUUCAUAAAGGGCAAUAAACGGUAUGCAGUUGUGCCUCCCCAAUGAAUAAUGUCAUCUGGACUCGUUUGUCAUUGUGUCAGAUUGAACCCCUUUUGCUGUCCAUUGACCUCAUUUGUCUACACACAUCUCUAAACUUUAAGUUUACUUUCUGAGCUUAAAUUCAAGACGUGUAGAUUUUUUUUCUUUUUUUCUCAUCCUUCAUAACUACACUCCUAGAAAAAAAGGGUUCCAAAGGGGUUCUUUAGAGAAGGAUAGGCUUCUACCAAGAUCCAUUUUCAUCUGAAGAACCCUUUCUGGAAGACAUGGGUACUUUGUAAGGCAAAGGAUUCAACCUAGAACCUUUCUCAUCCUAAGAACUGUUUUUGGAAGAAAGGGUUCUUUGAUGAUUCUUUGGAUGGCAAGAAAGAUUCUUUGGAAGGUAAGAAGGGUUCUACAUAGGACACUUCAGAAUCGGAAUAAGCUUUUGUAUUGUAUUUUUUUCCUUUAUUUUAAAUAGUGCCUGAGUAUUACUGUUUACCCCAGUGUUUAAACUUUAACCCUCUAGAGUUUAAAAGGACAGGUGUGAGAUUAUUUAAACUGUACCUACACGGGAAUAUUUGUACAUAGCAAAUUGGCCAGUUUUACCUAGUUGACUUUUCAGUGAAAUAUUUGUAGAGUUGAUUCAGGAGUUAAAUGAAAUGAACUCUGUAAAGAGUUAAAUUUACACUCAGUGGUGUAAAAUAACCCAAGUGUUGGUGUUAACCAAAGGUGAGUGUGAUCAGAAGUGUCAUGUCCAUAGGGGGUACAGGGGCAUGUGCCCCAUCAGAUUUGUCAUGUGUCAAUCAAGAUCGAGUAACUCGCUUGUCUGUCUUAGCUGGCAUGCCUGCUGGCAAGGUUGGUAGACUUUUUUUAAAAGUAAGCAAUAACUAAAUGAACUGAAUAAGACUCACAUUCCUUUCAAUCUUUUACCCAGAUUUGAGCAGAGACGUACAGAAGCAUAUUUAGUUUCUUUUUAAAAAAACAGUCAGGACACAGACAGCUCAAGAGGUAUGCUUAGCUAUGCAGAACUAUUGUUUCAGGUGUUUAAAAAAUUCAAAACAAUUCUCCAACUUAUUGUCGGGGGGCCUAGCCCCCUUCGGAACCAUCCCCCCCCCCCCCAGCCAUCCUCACGUACUUUGCGCCCCUCAGAUUUUUGGGGUGCAUAAUGGCCCUGAGCGUGAUUGUGUCAUUUUGACUCGGUGUAGAGUAAAACACUCAAAACCACAACCAAUGAAUGUGUUUUUGCAUAUACAUUGAUUGAUUGAUUGAUUGAUUGAUUGAUUGAUCUUAUUCUACACAAAGAUAAACAACAUACAUUUUUCUCAACUAAUCAAAUUUGUUAGUAGUUGGACUUAUUCAACCCGUUACUGAGACGGUUGUUCCAGAUGGUUUAGAUUGAUAAAUGAGACUAUCUGCUGUGCCUUGGCAGUCUUUCUGAAUCCAGGUUGUGGGUGAUUAAUAAGCCCCCCAUGGAGGCACUUGCAUUGAACACACCUACCAACUGUUUGUGAGUGCUCUGUGUCCAGGUUGGUCUGUGCCCUGUUUGCUUCCUCUGUCUUCUAGCCUUUAAUGUCAAAUUGCUCCUGUUCCAACAAAGGCCUAUGGACAAACCUUUCACCACUCCUGCUCCCUCUCCAUCCCUUUCUGCCUUCAUCCCUCUACACUUAUCCUUCUCACAGAUCCAGGAACCUUUCAUCACCACAUCAGAUAAGGCAAUGAGGAAGGACCAAAUCUCUAGACCUAUGCUCGGAGCGAGCAGGCUACUGGGGAGUACCAUCACUGACCUCCGGGUCUUGUGCUUCCAGGUGUCUGCUCGAUCCUCAGGUUGUCCUUCCUUCCAUCUGCAGAUCCAACUCUAGUCCUGUCCCCAGCAUCAGACCCAGUUCCAGUAUCAGACCCAGUCACAGCACCAGAACACCGGAAGAGGCACAGAGGAGGGUCCAACACCAGACCUUCACCCGGAGCAAGCGGACCACAGGGGAGUGCAACAUUUGACCUCCACGUCUUCCUCCCUUCUGUAGAUCCAGCACCAGUCCACCACCAGACCACCAGACGAGGUGUGAAAGAGGGACCAAAAAUCACAUCUUCACCCGGAGCUAGCAGGUUGGUGGACUGGUGCUGGAUCCAACACUUGGCCUCCAGUCCCAGCACAAUUUCCAGUCCAGGUUCCAACAGAAGUACCAACCCAGGUUUUUCCGGUCCAAGCCACAACACCAGCACCAAUCCUGAACACAGCACCAAAUUCCUUUUCCUUUCAGCCACUGCCAGCCCAGCCCAGCCCAGACCCCACCCCUCCCCCAACACAAAGAAACAUUGUGGACUAACUAACUAACUGACUGAUUGACUGAUGGAAUGGACUGAAUGGACUGACAGAUUGUUCUGAUUAUUUUUGAUUAGUUGAUUGCCUUUACUUUGCUUUUGUUUGAUUGGAUAACCAUUUGUUUUAACUCAUUUGAAUUGAUUACUUAUUGAAUUGUUUAUUAUUCGGAAUUUAAACUUAAUGAUGGAUUGAAUUUGAACUUGUUGAACAUUUUAAACUGUAACGAAUUUUGGAAAAAACAAAUAAAAUAGAAUUACACAGCAGAAUAGAA
Oncorhynchus nerka (sockeye salmon) is the source of this 2705-nucleotide long non-coding RNA. RefSeq lists it as uncharacterized. The transcript is spliced from 2 exons. NCBI's taxonomy places the organism in Eukaryota, Metazoa, Chordata, Actinopteri, Salmoniformes, Salmonidae. The record is from RefSeq and is a predicted model, not a curated record.